GACGAACGCUGGCGGCGUGCUUAACACAUGCAAGUCGAACGGAAAGGCCCUGCUUUUGUGGGGUGCUCGAGUGGCGAACGGGUGAGUAACACGUGAGUAACCUGCCCUUGACUUUGGGAUAACUUCAGGAAACUGGGGCUAAUACCGGAUAGGAGCUCCUGCUGCAUGGUGGGGGUUGGAAAGUUUCGGCGGUUGGGGAUGGACUCGCGGCUUAUCAGCUUGUUGGUGGGGUAGUGGCUUACCAAGGCGUUGACGGGUAGCCGGCCUGAGAGGGUGACCGGCCACAUUGGGACUGAGAUACGGCCAAGAGUGCUACGGGAGGCAGCAGUGGGGAAUAUUGCACAAUGGGCGGAAGCAUGAUGCAGCAACGCCGCGUGCGGGAUGACGGCCUUCGGGUUGUAACCCGCUUUCGCCUGUGACGAAGCGUGAGUGACGGUAAUGGGUAAAGAAGCACCGGCUAACUACGUG
This 468-nucleotide ribosomal RNA is filed under the name uncultured bacterium. RNAcentral's name for it is "partial 16S ribosomal RNA". It matches the Rfam family "Bacterial small subunit ribosomal RNA", at positions 28 to 507 of the family's 1533-position model. The record is from RNAcentral.